UAAAGUGGCGUACGGGUGAGUAACACGUGGAUAAUCUGCCUUUUAGUGGGGAAUACCGUUGGGAAACCGACGACAAUACCGCAUAAGCUCGAGAGAGGAAAGCAGCAAUGCGCUGAAAGAGGAGUCCGCGGUCGAUUAGUUAGUUGGCAGGGUAAAAGCCUACCAAGACUGUGAUCGAUAGCCGGCCUGAGAGGGCGCACGGACACACUGGAACUGAAACACGGUCCAG
Molecule: ribosomal RNA, 229 nt
Filed under: uncultured bacterium
Lineage: Bacteria
Description: partial 16S ribosomal RNA
Rfam family: Bacterial small subunit ribosomal RNA
Source: RNAcentral